UCCUUGAUACGCAUUGCGUGUCGUAAACGCGCGUCGUAAAUGCGCGUCGUAAAUGAGCGUCGUAAAUGCGCGUCGUCUCUCUUUAUGACAGGGCCUUCCUUGACGCGCAUUUGCGCGUCGUCUGAGCCUUUUACGACGCGCAAUGAGCGUCAUAAAAUACUGUUUUUCUAGAAGUGCAGGGGGGAAUACAAGCUAAACAUAAAUGUUUUACUGUUUUUCUAGUAGUGCAGGGGGGAAUACAAGCUAAACAUAAAUGUUUUCUUAUAAGCUAAACAUAAAUGUUUUCAGG
This 289-nucleotide long non-coding RNA is filed under the name Lactuca sativa (garden lettuce). RNAcentral's name for it is "long non-coding RNA (LSAT_LNC007988)". The record is from RNAcentral. Lineage: Eukaryota; Viridiplantae; Streptophyta; Magnoliopsida; Asterales; Asteraceae.